CAGGGAGGACAUCUUGGUGGCUGGGGCAGGGACAGGAGGGAGACUUUCCCAGCCUGUGUGAGCUAAUAGUGGCAAGUAUUUGGGAAAAAAGAAGGGUCUAGACAGAGAAGAUGGUGGAUCAGAGAAGAGCAUGGAGCAUGAGAGGGUGGACCUGAUGAGGUGGGAAGCCAGGCGUGCCCCACUGCCGGAGCAGGACUGCAAGGGGCUGCUGCAGACAACACAUGGAAAGCCACUGCCUCUGAGCCUUUGCAUUUGCAGUUCCCUCUGUGUGGAACAGCCUUCUCCCCAGACAUCCUUGUUCCUGCCUUCCUGUUUCACCCAGAACUACUUAACAAUAUACAUACUGAUCCAUUGUGGAAUUAUUAAGGAAAAUACAUUGAAAUAGGUGGCAUUCUUGUCAAAGAUAUAUAUGGACGGCUAGAUGGAUAGAUAGGUGAAAAUCAUGUUCCAUGGAAGAAGAGUUAGCUCAGCCUGCAACUCAAACAAGUACAGAUAUUCUUCCAUGGAAUGACCAUCAUACUUGGAUUGUAAUAAAAAUGCUUUAGGCAAACUUCUCAUUUCAUCCUUGGCAUAUUAAAAAUAUGUAUGUAUGUUUAAGGCUUGAAACUUAACACUGUAUUUUAAUGUUUCAGUAAGGUAAUUCUUCUUAAAUAAAAUUGGCAUUUUUAAAAAAGCCCUCUCUCACCACUCCUAUUCAACAUAGUGUUGGAAGUUCUGGCCAGGGCAAUUAGGCAGGAGAAAGAAAUAAAGGGUAUUCAAU
This 760-nucleotide long non-coding RNA is filed under the name Homo sapiens (human). RNAcentral describes it as "HSALNT0048338". The record is from RNAcentral. Lineage: Eukaryota; Metazoa; Chordata; Mammalia; Primates; Hominidae.